This 72-nucleotide transfer RNA is filed under the name Candidatus Dojkabacteria bacterium. Its description in RNAcentral is "tRNA-Asn". It matches the Rfam family "tRNA". From Rfam's summary of the family: Transfer RNA (tRNA) molecules are approximately 80 nucleotides in length. The record is from RNAcentral.
UCCUCAGUAGCUCAGCGGUAGAGCGUCCGGCUGUUAACCGGCAGGUCACUGGUUCGAAUCCAGUCUGGGGAG